GAAUUUUGGACAAUGGGCGAAAGCCUGAUCCAGCAAUGCCGCGUGCAGGAUGAAGGCCUUCGGGUUGUAAACUGCUUUUGUACGGAACGAAAAGUUUUGGGUUAAUACCCUUUAGUCAUGACUGUACCGUUAGAAUAAGCAACCGCUAACUACGUGCCAGCAGCCGCGGUAAUACGUAGGGUGCAAGCGUUUAUCGGAAUUACUGGGGGUAAAGCGUGCGCAGGCGGUUUUGUAAGACAGAGGUGAAAUCCCCGGGCUCAACCAGGGAACUGCGUUUGUGACUGCAAGGCUAGAGUACGGCAGAGGGGGGUGGAAUUCCGCGUGUAGCAGUGAAAUGCGUAGAUAUGCGGAGGAACACCGAUGGCGAAGGCAACCCCCUGGGCCUGUACUGACGCUCAUGCACGAAAGCGUGGGGAGCAAA
Molecule: ribosomal RNA, 421 nt
Filed under: uncultured bacterium
Lineage: Bacteria
Description: partial 16S ribosomal RNA
Rfam family: Bacterial small subunit ribosomal RNA
Source: RNAcentral